UGAACCGCGUAGAGAUUUGGAAGAACACCAGUGGCGAAGGCGACUUUCUUGUCUGUAACUGACAAUGAGGCGCGAAAGCGUGGGGAGCAAACAGGAUUAGAUACCGUGGUAGUCCACGCUGUAAACGAUGAGUGCUAAGUGUUAGAGGGUUUCCGCCCUUUAGUGCUGAAGUUAACGCAUUAAGCACUCCGCCUGGGGAGUACGGCCGCAAGGCUGAAACUCAAAGGAAUUGACGGGGGCCCGCACAAGCGGUGGAGCAUGUGGUUUAAUUCGAAGCAACGCGAAGAACCUUACCAGGUCUUGACAUCCUCUGACAACCCUAGAGAUAGGGCUUCUCCUUCGGGAGCAGAGUGACAGGUGGUGCAUGGUUGUCGUCAGCUCGUGUCGUGAGAUGUUGGGUUAAGUCCCGCAACGAGCGCAACCCUUGAUCUUAGUUGCCAUCAUUUAGUUGGGCACUCUAAGGUGACUGCCGGUGACAAACCGGAGGAAGGUGGGGAUGACGUCAAAUCAUCAUGCCCCUUAUGACCUGGGCUACACACGUGCUACAAUGGACGGUACAAAGAGCUGCAAGACCGCGAGGUGGAGCUAAUCUCAUAAAAC
This 600-nucleotide ribosomal RNA is filed under the name Bacillus paranthracis. RNAcentral's name for it is "bacterial SSU rRNA". It matches the Rfam family "Bacterial small subunit ribosomal RNA", at positions 682 to 1282 of the family's 1533-position model. The record is from RNAcentral. Lineage: Bacteria; Bacillati; Bacillota; Bacilli; Caryophanales; Bacillaceae.